This 125-nucleotide small RNA is filed under the name Marmota monax (woodchuck). The record is from RNAcentral. Lineage: Eukaryota; Metazoa; Chordata; Mammalia; Rodentia; Sciuridae.
GCCAGGCACGGUGGCUCACACCUGUAAUCCCAGCAGCUCUGGAGGCUGAGACAAGAGGAUCAUGAGGUCAAAGCUAGCCUCAGCAAAAGUGAGGUGCUAAACAACUCAGUGAGAUCCUGUCUCUA